Long non-coding RNA from Hibiscus syriacus, 247 nucleotides. RefSeq lists it as uncharacterized. The record is from RefSeq and is a predicted model, not a curated record. NCBI's taxonomy places the organism in Eukaryota, Viridiplantae, Streptophyta, Magnoliopsida, Malvales, Malvaceae. The transcript has 3 exons.
AAUGGGCCUACAAUGCCAACGGUGCAGCAUUUUGUUAGAGCUGAAAUGUUCUCAAGUGGUUCAAUCAUACACAUUGUUGAUCAUAUGGAUUUGGAGACAUGGGGUGUGCCAGAAGUGUUGCGCCCGCUUUAUGAAUCAUCAACAAUUCUCGCUCAAAAGACAAAUUGUUUGCUCUACGACAACUGAGGCAGAUAGCUCAUGAAGUUUCUCAGUCUAAUUCAACUGGUUGGGGUUGUCGACCAGCAGC